AUAAACGGAUCAUAUUGCUAGCUCAUAUUGAGUUGUCUUAUGAUUCCGCAAGCCCGCCUCCGACAAGUGGCGCCCGAACAGGGACCCUGAAGACAUAAGUGAACCUGCUUUCUAUGAGAGCUGGAGGAAAGGCCGUGUGCGCUCUAAAGAGGAAUUCGUACAGCUGCCCUCAGAGUGCCGGAUGCUAACCCGUGGUAUUCCUCCAAGAAGGUUCCUGAAGAAGGCAAGAUUUGUUCUCCUGAAGUCCAAAAUUGUGAUCCUACUUACUUCUGUGCUUCCUCCACGCAGGAUCCUGAACUCUACUGGUUGGAAGAGGAACACGACACACUUGGGGGCUUGAACAGUGACGCUGUCAAAAGGAGGGUUUUCAUCUAGCAUCCUCUGCAGGUACCUGACAGAAAACUUCCCACAAAAGAAGACAAGAUAUGUUUUCCUCCUUUAAAUUUGUCUUUCAUUAAAACCUGGAUGAACAGAAUACUCUUUAAUCCUCGAUCCCCAUGGGAUUCUGAACUCCUUAAAUCACUCAGAGUACUGAGACACGGCAGAAUAAACAAAAUGUUUUAUAUAUUAUUUUACAAAUUUAUUCAAUUAUUAAAAAAAAAAUACAACUAAAGAGAAUCCCAGAUCAUAUCCCAGGAACAUGCCACACAACUCCACAAGUUCCCAAAGGAUUAAAAUCCAACAGGUUUUAAUGAAAGCUCCAAGUCUACAAAGAAACGUGUUGGUAUAACUAAGUGGUGACUUUUGCACAAUCUCUAUGCACUCGUUGAAACUGUCUUUGAGAAUCACAAAAAGCAGUUCCUUUUGACAGGUCUAACAUAGCAUGUGAAGUAUGCUUAGUCAGAUUGGAGGACAGGAGAAUGGAGACAAACCUAUUGAUGUGGACCAGCACCUAGCGCUUGUUUUUUUCACUUUAUGGUCUCUCAGUGCAUAGACAUUUAGAUGGAGAAAUUUGUUUACAUUUUCUAACCUUGUUCUGAACAAAUGAAUUGCUCAGUGCUGCCAGUAUGUCCUUUGGUGUUUUUCUCUAUUCAUAAUACUUUUUCGUUACGUUCUCACCUCUAUAUGUUGUUGACAUUGCUGAAUAAAAAAAUUAGCUCUCAAAACACAGGUGCAAAUUCUUUAGCUUUGAACAUUUCCUACACACAUACAGAAUUACUAGAUAAUUACAUCUGAACUCAUCUGAAAAAGUUUAGUAGUAUCUUCUAAGAUUUUCUACCUAUCAUUAAUUUUCUGACUCAGAACAACAGAAGGAACUAGAAAAGGAAAAAGAAGAACAGCUGGAUUAAGCAUACACACGUCCACUCCAAGGUCUGUAGCUACACUAUGAGUUUGUAAAAAUGAGCAAGUUUGGACUUGCAGUGUGACUGGAGUAUGAUUAGGGAAAGGAUCCUUUUAGUGCUGGAUACAGAUAACAGUAUUUGCUAAACAAUUGAACAAAAAUACAUGCAGUGGGAUCCUAUUACUGCAUGAGAAUAGGACAAAAACUUUGCCAAAAUAAGUUUCAAUUAAACUGUACUCUCAUCACUAACAAUCUCUUGAAGUGUGAGGAAAAGUCAAAAACAUCAUCAUUGAGUAUAUUCUUUUUCCUUGAAAACUGUCAUUUGAACACAGAACUGUCCACGUUUCUCCCUUCGGCUAACUUUGAAAAUGAUUUCUGUCAUAGGCUUUCCUUGAUUGGUGACUAAUUACUUGGAAAACAUUUCUUAAGAUGCCUUGGAACUCUGCUGGGGGAAACUUGAUAGUUUCUAGAGACUCCUGG
This is a long non-coding RNA of Rhea pennata, 1762 nucleotides long. RefSeq lists it as uncharacterized. Lineage: Eukaryota; Metazoa; Chordata; Aves; Rheiformes; Rheidae. The transcript is spliced from 3 exons. The record is from RefSeq and is a predicted model, not a curated record.